UACGAAGGGGGCUAGCGUUGUUCGGAAUCACUGGGCGUAAAGGGCGCGUAGGCGGCUUUAUAAGUCGGGGGUGAAAGCCUGUGGCUCAACCACAGAAUUGCCUUCGAUACUGUAGAGCUUGAGACCGGAAGAGGUAAGUGGAACUGCGAGUGUAGAGGUGAAAUUCGUAGAUAUCCGGAGGAACACCAGUGGCGAAAGCGGCCACCUGGACUGCACCUGACGCUGACACGCGAAAGCUAGGGGAGCGAACGGG
This 253-nucleotide ribosomal RNA is filed under the name uncultured bacterium. RNAcentral describes it as "partial 16S ribosomal RNA". It matches the Rfam family "Bacterial small subunit ribosomal RNA", at positions 524 to 776 of the family's 1533-position model. The record is from RNAcentral.